RNAcentral lists this unclassified non-coding RNA (536 nucleotides) under Hevea brasiliensis (rubber tree). The record is from RNAcentral. Lineage: Eukaryota; Viridiplantae; Streptophyta; Magnoliopsida; Malpighiales; Euphorbiaceae.
AGGAGAAUCAUCUCUUUCUACACUGUUACCCGCGACCGCAAAUUUAUGCCAUGGCUGCAUCAAUCCAAUAAGACUAUAAUGCUCUCAAUCCCAUUUUCUAACCCAAGUGACUACAGUAGGAAGCAAAGUAGGCUAGUAAAAAUGCUCUUAAGUCUCAUAUAAGUUGCUUGGAUCCCUGAAUGACCUCCCAUGGGUGAAUUAUGAUACAAUUGGACUAAUGCAUCCCUUAAGUUACUUCUGCUACCCACAUAUAGUUUAUCUCUAUAAUACAACAACCCAUUCUGAAGUUUAUAACCACGAUAAGCAUUCCCAUCCAAGGAUAAGUGAGCAAUUAAUUCUUCUGCUUUAGGGUCCCCUUGAUAACUAUCAAUGAGUGUAGCCAUCCAUGUAGGCUGUAAAGGAGAGAUUAAGACACAUAACUGAGUUGCAAUACCACUUGUGCACUACUAUUGUUUGCUUCAUUGAAUUCAAAUUGUGGAAUAGGCGAAAGUUGUUGCUAAGUUGCAUGGUUGUUGGAGCUGUUAGAGCGGGGUUUG